GCCCGGAUGGAGAAAUUGGUAAACUCGCUGGACUUAAAAUCCAGUGUCCGUAAGGACUUGAGGGUUCGAGUCCCUCUCUGGGCA
RNAcentral lists this transfer RNA (84 nucleotides) under Nitrospinaceae bacterium. RNAcentral's name for it is "tRNA-Leu". It matches the Rfam family "tRNA". Rfam says of the family: Transfer RNA (tRNA) molecules are approximately 80 nucleotides in length. Lineage: Bacteria; Pseudomonadati; Nitrospinota; Nitrospinia; Nitrospinales; Nitrospinaceae. The record is from RNAcentral.